GGGGAUUUUGCUCAGUGGUAGAGCGCUUGCCUAGCAAGUGCAAGGCCCUGGGUUCAGUCCCCA
Rattus norvegicus (Norway rat) is the source of this 63-nucleotide non-coding RNA. Lineage: Eukaryota; Metazoa; Chordata; Mammalia; Rodentia; Muridae. The record is from Rfam.